GAUGAACGCUGGCGGCGUGCCUAAUACAUGCAAGUCGAGCGAACGGACGAGAAGCUUGCUUCUCUGAUGUUAGCGGCGGACGGGUGAGUAACACGUGGAUAACCUACCUAUAAGACUGGGAUAACUUCGGGAAACCGGAGCUAAUACCGGAUAAUAUUUUGAACCGCAUGGUUCAAAAGUGAAAGACGGUCUUGCUGUCACUUAUCGAUGGAUCCGCGCUGCAUUAGCUAGUUGGUAAGGUAACGGCUUACCAAGGCAACGAUGCAUAGCCGACCUGAGAGGGUGAUAGGCCACACUGGAACUGAGCCACGGUCCAGGCUCCUGCGGGAGGCAGCAGUAGGGAAUCUGCCGCAAUGGGCGAAAGCCUGACGGAGCAACGCCGCGUGAGUGAUGAAGGUCUUCGGAUCGUAAAACUCUGUUAUUAGGGAAGAACAUAUGUGUAAGUAACUGUGCACAUCUUGACGGUACCUAAUCAGAAAGCCACGGCUAACUACGUG
This 497-nucleotide ribosomal RNA is filed under the name uncultured bacterium. RNAcentral's name for it is "partial 16S ribosomal RNA". It matches the Rfam family "Bacterial small subunit ribosomal RNA", at positions 28 to 507 of the family's 1533-position model. The record is from RNAcentral.